RNAcentral lists this ribosomal RNA (253 nucleotides) under uncultured bacterium. RNAcentral describes it as "partial 16S ribosomal RNA". It matches the Rfam family "Bacterial small subunit ribosomal RNA", at positions 524 to 776 of the family's 1533-position model. The record is from RNAcentral.
UACAGAGGUCCCAAGCGUUGUUCGGAUUCACUGGGCGUAAAGGGUGCGUAGGCGGCCGGGUAAGUCUGAUGUGAAAUCCCGCAGCUUAACUGCGGAACUGCAUCGGAUACUCUCCGGCUAGAGGAAUGGAGGGGAGACUGGAAUUCUCGGUGUAGCAGUGAAAUGCGUAGAUAUCGAGAGGAACACCAGUGGCGAAGGCGAGUCUCUGGACAUUUCCUAACGCUGAGGCACGAAAGCCAGGGGAGCAAACAGG